GCCUAUGACCAACCCACCUGGAAUGUGCCCGAUCUCUUCAUAUCUCAUAAGCUAAGCAGGGUUGAAUGUGGAUAGUCCUUGGAUGGGUGACCACAAUGCACAAAACUUGUGUUAUAGGGU
Molecule: ribosomal RNA, 120 nt
Filed under: Petromyzon marinus (sea lamprey)
Lineage: Eukaryota; Metazoa; Chordata; Hyperoartia; Petromyzontiformes; Petromyzontidae
Source: RNAcentral